RNAcentral lists this ribosomal RNA (1873 nucleotides) under Triticum aestivum (bread wheat). Its description in RNAcentral is "partial small subunit ribosomal RNA". The record is from RNAcentral. Lineage: Eukaryota; Viridiplantae; Streptophyta; Magnoliopsida; Poales; Poaceae.
CUAAGCGGGUACGCGACGCGAGCGGGGCGCCUUGCACGUUUUCCCAGUUUCGGGAUCGGCGGUCGUCAAGAGCAGUUCGGGCACGGGGGAGGCGGAGCAGAGCAGGGACGAGGGAGGAAAGGGUGCUGCGGCGGGAGCUCGGGCGCGGCGGAGGUGGAGCAGAGGAGGGGCGAGGGAGGAGAUGUUGCGGCGGCGGUAGCUACGCGGCAUUCCCUGCGGCAGCUGUGCAGCCCCUAUGCGUCGCUGCCUCUCGGCCUCGUGUCGUCUUUGGGUGAGGAUUGGGAUAAGCGAGCUAACUGUUCUCGUCCCGUUGCCUAACCUAGCUCCCGCGGGAACGGAGCGGCGGCGACGUGGACCUAAGUGAUCGGUCACACACCUCAGCGGGACCGGCGGCGCAGCUCAGUGGAGGCAGCGGCGGCGCUCAGUCGAGGUGGCAACGGCGGUCCUUAGGGAAGGGCUGUUCCUUUUAAGGAUCCCUAAACUAACUACCUCCGUAGUGAUAAACCACGACCUAAUAGGUAAAAACGUUGUGGUCGUUACAACAAAAACAAACCUUACCGGUCAAGAGUUAAAGAUUUAGCCGGUAUGAUAUGAAGAACAGUCAAUACUAUAUAAAAAGUUGAUAUGUUCGUGAACCCCUUCAGUCCCUUUGACUUGGUUUCUGUUUGUGAAAAUGACUCGUAACCUCUUUGUACAAAGAUGCUUACACGGUUUUGACUACCUAAAUUGAUGUCCAUAACGUGAUAAUAAGAUGUCCAUAACGUGAUAAUAAGAUGUCCAUAACGACAUAACGUAAUAGGUUGACAUUCAGGCAAGAUUUGAGAUUCGGGGUACAUUUAGACUACCUUCUAACCCGGUAAAUUAAACUUGGUUUUUCCCACUAUACGAGAGUCAACGAACUUAGACAGGUCUGGACCUUUAAUCUAUAUAAAACUUUCGAAAUAUAACUCAUCCUCUAUCAACUAUUUCCACAUGGAGAACAUCCUCUAAUAAUGAACUAAUGGACGAAGAUACGCCACUUGUUUACUCAUUCGUCAAAAUCAACUAUUUCCACAUCCGUUGUGUGGUAAAAACAAGGUAAAAAACCAAACAUUCAGUUCCUACAAAUCCGAAAGGACUUAUACAAUUAACACUUUGUCAAAACUACGUUAAAAACUUGGUAAGUCAGACAAAACAAGCACGUCAAGUACCAUGGUGUAGACGUCCGAUGUAGAACACAUCUAAACCGAUGGUGUAAUAUACUACUACAAAGUGAAACGAGUCAGUUCCAAAGUCAUUUUUAAACUUAACUUGUAUAAAAACAUCUGUACGUUUUUACCAGACGUAAAAAAUGUAGCGGGACUGUAGGUUAAGUUUGAUAUAAAAGACGGAUUUGACAACGCAUGGAUACUCUAGUACCCUAUUGAGUCUGUACUCGGCCACAGGUCACGCGUCAACCCACGUAAUAAAGCACUGUAGGUCACGAUUGACAAAAAAGUUCCGGUGGGUUACCUCACUCCCACUCAUUACACCGUAGUCGGAUAAGACCUGGGCACAUAAUAAGAGGGAGGCUAGUUUUAAUUCACAGCACCAAAAUCAAGUCUUUGGUACGUACUGUGAAUAAAACCUAGCCUCCCUCAUCAUAAAUUCUCUAAGGAACGUAUGCGUACUAAGUCUUUUCAUGUCACACCCUACGGUAAUAUUUGAGUACUUUAGACUAGGACUAUCACUGCACUAAAUGAGACAAACUAGUUUGUCCAGCUUCGGUUUCAACAAAAAUAACCUAGACUACUACAGGGACGACGAACGACGACAUUCGUUCCUUUAACUGAUGUUCAAAGUUGCAGUUGGACUUAAAAAUAACACCUACAAACUCGCACUUGGACUUAAAACU